This 644-nucleotide long non-coding RNA is filed under the name Panax ginseng (ginseng). Its description in RNAcentral is "long non-coding RNA (PGIN_LNC004711)". Lineage: Eukaryota; Viridiplantae; Streptophyta; Magnoliopsida; Apiales; Araliaceae. The record is from RNAcentral.
AGGGACGGAGCCAGGAUUUGAUCUUGAGGGGGGCCAAAAUUAAACUUCCAGCCUUCAGAUUUUUCAAGAUAAAAGGCUAUGCCAUUGAGCUUCCCAAGUCCCAACUCCAGAAAAUAAUCCUAUUUCCUAGCAUUAUUUCUUCUAACCAUAGGUCCAUAAUUUCACUGUAUUUACGAAACAGUCCAUUAGCUCCACCAAUCCUAAUUCCUAGCAUUAUUUGAGACUUGGGAGUGCAUAUAAAUCUCAAUAAAAGCAAAUCUAACAACGCAAAUACGCAAUGACAAAUUAUAACACAUAAACAAAUAUAAAUUGAAUUGAUAACUCCUCGUAUCAACAAUUUUAAACCCCAAUUUGUUUCUGCACAUACAUAAUAUAUAUAUGUAAAAAGUAAAGAAUGAAUAAAGUAAAGAAUCUCUACUUGACUACUUUCAUCUUCAAGCUGGAAACCAAGGAGGCAUGGACAAAAUGGUGGAUGGGCUGGGGGCGAAAAUGGAAUGGCAAAUGUUAAGACAAAAGUAAAACAAGACUUUGUUUGUUGGUGUGUAUUGUGUAGUGGAGAAUUUGAGAUAAUGAAAUAAAAUGAAUUGACACAAGACUCACAAAACACAAAUUUAAUCUCAUAAUUCAAGUGGGUAGUACUUAAC